This 118-nucleotide microRNA precursor is filed under the name Prunus dulcis (almond). RNAcentral describes it as "sRNA ncRNA". Lineage: Eukaryota; Viridiplantae; Streptophyta; Magnoliopsida; Rosales; Rosaceae. The record is from RNAcentral.
CUUGGACUCCUGUGGUCCAAGAGAUCGGGACUGUAAAUAUAAGAUAUGUGGAAUAUUUUCAAUGUAGUUAGACAUAUGUUAUAAACAGUCCCGAUCUCUUGGACCACAGGAGUCCAAG